Molecule: long non-coding RNA, 7008 nt
Organism: Dermochelys coriacea (leatherback sea turtle)
Lineage: Eukaryota; Metazoa; Chordata; Testudines; Dermochelyidae
Exons: 11
Source: RefSeq, a predicted model, not a curated record
CUGGAGCUGAUAGGGACUGGUGGAGCUGUUGGAUGUCUGCAGGAACUGAGUACAAGACUUUAGUCCUACGGUAAAGACUGUGUGUGUGACUUGGCCGGAGGGCUGAAUCACCAAAACCGCCUGAGAAACCACUGACAGGAGUCCCCCACCCAGCCAGGGGGUGCUCACAGGCACCCGUUUACUUUCUCAGUUUCCAUCUGUAUCCAGAGGACACACUGCUCCUUCCCACUGCUUAUUAUGCUGGAUGCAAGUGUAAUGCUGCUUGUCUCUGAAGGAAAAGGAUGUUGACUGGCUUCUUCCUUUCUAUCCUCGAGAGAUCAGGAUCAAUUGCUUCCCUCAUCACUUAGAAUGACAGACUGCUGGUUGCAAUCAAUCCUUUGAAUUUGCAGCGGUAUCUCGCUAGGAAUUGCAAAUAAGAAGACUUCAGCAGUACUUACGGUGACUAAUCUUAGUAAAGCCCUGAUGUCCUUUUUUGUAUGAAAUAGAAACUCUAGCUUACCAGCUAACUCUGCCUGAGGUUCCUCCUUCAAUGAAGCCUGGGGAAAGAGCUGGACAUUGUUUAUACAGGUGCUGCCCAGAAGAAAAGCGUACUCUUUCAAGCCUGGAGAGAAACAGAGUUAGCCGGCUGGAGAGAAUCCCAGUUUAUGCUGGGUGCUGCUAUUUAAUGGAAGAAUUAGUAGACCUGUCUUCUUCUGACCUUGGCCCUAUGUCUCCAGUGUGGAGCAGAAAUGGAGUCACUGAGUUUUCUCUUCCAAACUCAGCUAAAUUUUAAUGAGCUCCCUUCCAAGAUCCCUGAAGUUUUCAAUAAGCUGUGAACUUCCACACGAUGUCAUAUCAUAUAGAGAAUCCACCACAUCCUUACUUUUUCAACAGCCUUUUGAAGAGUGGAUACCAGAAAUAGACACAGCAUUCCGGUCUUGGUCUCAUAAUGCCAUGUAUAGAGGCGGUUCGCUCAAUGUCUGCUGUGCCAGCUGUCUGCACAGAGCUGGGGCAGUACACAGGGAGAAUACACAUAUGCAGCCGAACAUCUAACCACACUGGUGACCCCCGACUACUGAUCUGUGAAGAAUGACACCCGGUGUGACAACAAUCACAGUAUGACACCUGGUGUGACAACAUGGACGUUGGGGCAGAGUGUGUCUUGAGUCACAAUUGUGGGCAAGGGCUGGUGGAUACACUGGACCACCCCAGGAGUAGCCUGGAGAAAGACCUCGGAGUCAGUAUUCCAUCCUUGCUGCUGUGAUCAUUAACUGUUGGUCUAUUCCAGUGCUAAGCUAUUACCUGUGCUAGCUCAGUUACCCAGGCCAAUGAAAGGGAGCUUCUUGGAGCCAAAACUUGACCCAUUCUCUGACCCUCCCUCUCUACUCUCUUCCUACCCACUUUGGCGGGGAGGGUAUCCCUGCUGUCUCCAGGGCACAUGCUCCACAGGUCUGAGUAGACCACAGUGAUGGGAAGAACUGUUGCUCCCUUGCAGAAGGGUGUAGUCUGAGUCGCAAUCCAGCCCAUACAAUACAUUUAAACGGUACAUCGUGUCUAUAGAGACAACAGUGGCAGUUGUUCAAAAAGCUUGAGCCAGGCUUGUGUGCAUGUUUAAGGGGACUGCCAGGAAUACUGUGUGGUGUAUAGCCUGAAAUAGGUUUCUAUUGCUAAUCCACGUGUGUAGUGUUGCAUGACUGAGUACAUUGCAAACAGGGAGUGAAGCUUAAAAAUGAAUCUAGGCUUUGCCCCGCCCCCCCCCACCAAAAAAAGUUCAAAGCCAUAUGCAUGCAAAUUUAAUUCCAAUCAGGCAAUUUUAGAUAUGAAAGUGAUGACGUGUCUUAUUUACACUUAAUGCCACUCUGGCAGCAUAAAGGGACCUUAAAGUGGAUAGAAAUAGCCCCUUGACAGUACCAUGUGCAGAGUGUCUCCCAACUGGUGUGAAACUAGCAUAAAGGCUCUUUGCUAUAAUCUGGGAGUAAGGCUAACAGAGUGGGCAUGCUCAGGGUGGGAUGGAGGCUGCGAGAGAUAAGGAGUGGAUGGGUCAGAGUGCACUGCACUGUGGCUAUUCUUUGCUUUCUACUGUCCAUAGGGACAAAUGAGAAGGAGAGCAUAAAUCAGAAGUAUCACAGUUCAGGGCAACUGCAUCUCUAUUCCCCAUCUGUGGUGCCACAGGGCACCCACUUUUAGGAUCAUGGCUUCUCAGCCAUCACCUCUCUUGGGUGGAGACAUGCAUCUCUCUCCCUCCUGACAGGGUUAUUUCCAGGCUGUGCCGUUCCCUGCCUACACUGUGAAUUCCCCAGCAAGUCAGAUUGUCUCAGCUGGUCUGCUUUGCCUUCUCCUCGGAGGCUACAAACAGCAUAAUUACCCAUAGGUAAUUCUAUGCAAGCCCUUUCUAUGCAAACACAUUUUUUCUUAUGGUGAAAACAUUAAAAACAAUAAAAAACUACACACAUGCUAAUAAGCUUACCAGAGAUCACCCCCCAACUCCAACAAGGACUCUGGCAGGUGGUCAGUUCUUCAAACCCCUCAUGGGGGAUUUUCUGUAGUUACAAGUUCAUAACACCUUUUGAUCAGAAUGAGAGCCCCUGUGACUCACUCCUUUAUACAGUUUGGGUCUCUGAUCUUGUCCUCAUUUAAUAGGUGAUCAGGUUUCCUCCGCAGGGUGACGCUUCAAAAGGCUGAGUUCUUACGUAACCAGAAGAGGGUACAUUUGCUUACACCUUCCUCUAGAGAUUUCUUGGGAAACUCACUUAACUUUAAAGUUCAUUCUUGUCUGGCCCAUGGUUUCAAAUAGUUCUUUAAAGUUCUUAAUGCUUCCCAGUGGUUACUUUAGUCACAUCUGCCCCCUGGAGACAUUUAUAUACAAUCCCAUUAUAAUGCAUAAGAUUUGCAUUUGUGUUUUUAAUACAGUGAUACAAAAAUCCUUCAACAUAAUUCAUUAAGCCAGGAUAUUGUAGGAAAUUGACAUGUUUGUCACAAGAAGUAUCUCCUAACCGUGCAUCUUAAUUGUUCGUAUAUGUGUAUGAUAGUUCCUAGUUCACAUAAAGGUUAUUCAGCGCUAGACUCAGACAUACAUUUACAUUUUGAAGAUGCCAAAGUAUCAAUUACCUUUCCAGCAAAAUGGCCAGUUAAUUUAGAAGGGAAGGAAGCAUUUACUUACUGACUUCAAUGCAAAAAAUGAUUUGUACUGUGAAUUUCUGCAAAGCAUUGCCAGAUUGUCGAUCAUAAGGAGAAAUCAGGGUUGGUGCAGAGUUCCUGAGUGGAGAAAGUUUGAGAACCCCUCCUCUGUAACAAUCUAUUAUAUAUAAUCGUGAUGAUCAAAUUGCUGAGGUUGAAGAUGACAUUGAGCUCCAAAGACUGCUUACUUCUCACAGUUUUAAUGGACACUGCCCUUUAUUUCUGACAAAGUAGAAUCAGGUCUUUAUCUACCUAAGGUACUUCUCUGGCCCACUUUUCCUUAAUAUCUGAGCAUAUUACAAUCUUUAAUUUAUCCUCAUAGCACCCCCUGUGAGCUAGGGAAGUACUCGUAUCUCCAUUUUACCAGUGGGGAACCGAUGCCCAGAGAGCAAGAUCCUCAAAGGUAUUUAGGCUCCUAACUUCCAUUGAUUUCAAUGGAAACAGAAGGUCGGAGCCUCAAUUCCUUUGAGGAUCAAGGCCUAAGUGACUUGUCCAAGGUCACACAGGAAGGUGGUGGCAGAGCAGAGCCUUGAAGCCGGGACUUUCAAGUCUUAGCCUUGACCCUAGCUACUGGAUCAUCCCACCUCUCUCUCAAUGGAUUUACACAUGGGAAUUUUUCUGCUUUGAAAUGCAUUGGGUAAUCUCUGUAGGCCAGUAUCAUACAUAUGGAUUUCUGUGUUAAGAUGGAUUUUUGGUUUGGUGGUUCUCUUUUCAAUAUUGACGAUAAUGUGUUUGUUUAUGUAAACCCCUAGAUAACAAGUUUAUAUAUAAUAGACUAAUUGUCAUGAUUAACGGUUUAAAUGUAACCUUUCCCCCAAAGAGGUUGUGGUACAUACUUGUAAACUACUUCUUGUUUUUCCACUUUGUAGUGAAAAAAGAGACUUCUGGUCUUAAAGGAGGAGAACUGAGGUCCCUGUUUCACUACAGGAUGAAAGCAAGGACUGAAAUCCAGCCUCCACUUGAGAAACGUGCUUGGUCUCCUCCUAGGUUAAAACUUUUCACUACACAGACACCAACUUUAUUCUUUCUGGGUGGGUGCUCCACCCUCACUGCACCCUGUGGCCAUGCCCCCAUGCUACCCCUUCCCCAAGGCCCCAUGCUCGCUCUACCUCUUCCCUUCCCACCCCCACUCCGCCCCCGAGCAUGCCCUGUCCUCGUGCCGCCUCUUCCAGCCCCCACGCCACCCCUUCCCCCAGGACCUACUGAACAGCUGCUCGGUGGGUGGCUGGUGGCACCCACUGUUUUUUUUCCCUGUGGGUGUUCCAGCCCUGGAGCACCCACAGAGUCAGCGCCUAUGUUUCAUUAUAUCAGAUGAGUCCUCAUUCUUGAGGGGCAGGAGCCCACAUUAUCAUGUGAAAUUAAUUGAUGGGAUUAUAAAGGAGGCUCACAGUAAUCGCUAGGACUGUUUUAAAGUUAAAAGUUGAACUGCAUAUCUGCACAUUGUCACCAGACUGCAUAUGCUACAGCAACCCCAAGGCCUGAUUUCUGUGCUCACUGGCACAGCUUUACACCUGUGUUACUCCAGAGAUGUAAGUGGAAUUACUUGUAUUGUACACCCAAGUUAAUGAGAGCACAAUCAGGGUGCACUGAAAGACUGAUGUGGAAACCAGGAGGAAAACAGGGCUUUAUCCCAAACGUCCUAUUAGGUUUAUUAUACCAGUAAGCUCAUUUUUGUUUUACCUACUCAGCACUUUCUACAGUGUGCAUAAACAUUCCUACCGCCCCCUUAAAUUCAAGCAAAUUAAGGGCACAUAUUGAACAUAUGUUAUUAAUAUAUCAGCUCUACUUUCUAAUUCCUAAUUCAAGCUUGAAAUUGAUUAAAACUGCUAAUCCUUGACAAGGCUACAAAAAUUUAUGCUAAUUUACUGACAUGCUCUUUUCAGAAACUUUGCGUUUCUUGUUUAUAAAUUAAAUUUAAAUAGAACAUCCAAGGGCCUUCCUAAUUUAGCAUGGAGGGGGCCAGGAUUUACAUGAUGAAACGCUACAUGCCCUUGAGCUUACUGUACAGUAGAGAUGAGAAGAGCUGACAUUACAGUUUCCUAAGGUUGGGGAAAGAGAUGAGGGUGUCAUUAAGAUUUUAAGUAGGUUUCAUUAGCUUCUCUUAGCCUUAUGGCAAAGCUAGAUACAAGGGCAACCAUGACAGAAGGCACAGCAAGAGCAACCUGAAUUUCACUCGACAGUGCAGAGAGUUGUAAAUGUCACCCUCUUUCUCACGGGGGGGGUUCAGCAGUUAAGCCCCCUAAGGCAGUGAGCUGGCUUCCAUUGGGGGAUUCACGAGGGUAAGGCAAUGUUAGGGUGGCAUUUUGGUGUCAUACUGCCACAGAAGGGGAUCACCGGGAAGCAUUGUGGUAGAAGGCGUGGUGCACAUGGGGAGGGUGCAUGCUGCUAUACCCCUGUACGGGGUGCCGCACAGUCUCAUCCCCCACACCAUCCUACAUACCCAGCCAGCUCUGCCGGGCAGCCCAUAGUGGAAUGGCCAUGGCUCCACCCUCUCCCUCCCUGCCUCCUUUGGCCCUCCUCAGGAACUUGAAUUUUGCAGGGGGCUAAUGGGCUGUGCAAGGGGGAAGAAAGGCUGUUUACUUUCUCCCAUCCCCCCUGCACUCUGCAUCCCAUAAAUCCAGGCAGAGAUUGGUCUUUCAUCCAUACUGGUAAUACUGUCUCAUAUCCUAUCAUGUGUCCAUUGUAUUGAAAGAGAAUUUAUAAAUGCCUCAGUCUGCCACCAGACCCAGAGGAAGUGUCAGGUGAACAGUGCCAAUGACACAUAAUGGCAGGUUUCAGAGUAGCAUCCAUGUUAGUCUGUAUCCGCAAAAAGAACAGUAGCUCACGAAAGCUUAUGCUCUAAUAAAUUUGUUAGUCUCUAAGGUGCCACAAGUCCUCCUUUUCUUUUAAUGACACAUAAAUGUAACAAUCUCUUUAGGUUGGUAUUUGCUUCCUGUGCCUUCAUCCUUCAUUCUGCUACUGUUCAUGGCUGUGGAGCACCAUAUGCAAUGAGCACUGUGUAAACCUACAUUGAUUCAGAUGGUGUGUUAAUUGCUAGAGUGAGAAACCCUUUCUUAUUCAUUUUUUGUCUUGUGAAUGGGAAUCUGCAUCAGUUACACACUGCAGGAGUUGGAGAAGGAAACAAGGAUGUUUACACGAACGUAAAGUGCUAGAUAGCUUUUGCAGCAUGAAGGUCAGGGCUGUGCAAAAGUAUGAAGGCCCUGUUCUGCCACCAUUAGUCUCCCAGAGUAGUACAUGGAAUCCCACUAAAAUCAAUGGGACUAAUCAGCGAGUAAGUUGCAACUGCUCAUCAGGAGUUAGAGAGGUGGAAUCAUAUCUUUAGCGACUCUGAAAACAAAGAGCCUGAUUCUUAUUACUAUUACUCAUAGUGAGUAGUACUUGCAUUUAGUCCUGCGCCCACUUAAGUCAACUGCAAUCUUCCCAUUCAUUUAUGGCGGAUUUUUCAAAAGUCUCUAGGCAACUUAGGAACACAAGUCCAAUUGAUCCAAUUCACAUAAGCAUUUUGUAAAUCCCUCCCUUAAUUGGUACAGGAUCCAGCCCCAUGGUACCUCUCAAUGUAAGUAGCAGGGACAGACUGCAACAUAAUAUUUUCAAGGUUCAACCCUAUGUCUGUUGCAGUCAAUGAGGAGUCUAGCUGUUGACUUCUGGGAAGUGGUGGACCAGGCUCUACUUCUGCAAAUUUUAAGAUGGGUUUAAGCCAGUAGACUCCUGUCAUAAAUUGAUCAGAAACACACAGCUAAAUCUCCCUUAAAUCUUUUUCAACUACCUCCGCCCUUCAUCCCUGAAUUGUGAAAUCUUUGGAUGUUCUUUUUACUCAAAACAUGUCAUCUGCAGAAAAAUAAAUAACCCAAA